This 492-nucleotide long non-coding RNA is filed under the name Homo sapiens (human). Its description in RNAcentral is "HSALNT0379615". The record is from RNAcentral. Lineage: Eukaryota; Metazoa; Chordata; Mammalia; Primates; Hominidae.
ACCAAAAUGCUGAUAGACAUAUGGACUGUGAAAGCCAGGCUGAUGAAAUCUCAGAUGGAAAUGAGGAACUUAUUGGGAACUGGAGUAAAGGUCACGCUUGUUAAAUCCUAAGAAACAACUUGGCUGCAUUGUAUUCAUGCCCUAGGGAUCUGUGGAAGUUUGACCUUAAGAGUGAUGACUUAGGACAUCUGGUGGAAGAUACUUCUAAGCAGACAUUUCUAAGGUGUGACCUGGUUGCUUCUAACAGUCUAUGCUCUGCUUCAAGGAGUGCCCUGGGAAGGCCUCCCAACCCCACACCUGUCCUGUUGGCCAAGGCGAGCUCCAUGCCAUGUGGCAUCUCUGCCGCUGGCCACCUGUGAUAGCAGCAGCAGAUAGGCCAGGUCUACCCAGGUGGCCUCCCUCACCCUGAGAAUAUAAAUUAACAGGCCGGUCUUCAUGACAUGGGACAAAAUGAGACAAGAAAUCGUUCCUCCUACCCCUGAGACGAAUGCA